Capsicum annuum is the source of this 1611-nucleotide long non-coding RNA. RefSeq lists it as uncharacterized. The transcript is spliced from 5 exons. The record is from RefSeq and is a predicted model, not a curated record. NCBI's taxonomy places the organism in Eukaryota, Viridiplantae, Streptophyta, Magnoliopsida, Solanales, Solanaceae.
UUAAAACUGCAAAUCAGUUUGUAUACCAAAUCCAGAAACAAUUGCGUUUACUUUUUAUAUUCUCCAAGUGCUCUUUUUCUGAUGAUUUUUUUUUUUUUUGGUCUCAUGCACAGCAUUCUCUCACAUGAGAGAACUGCUUCUCUUUCAUUUCUUGCCUAAUCUCUUCAGGACAUUAUUUAUUUAAUUUCCAAAUCUCAUGGUUGUUGAAAAAUAAUACACCCAGUUCAAAUUCUGUUUUGGUAUUUUUCUUUGAGACAGCCUCGAUCAUAGAAAAGUCCCCAAGGCCGGAGAUAAUCUCCCAAAGAUUGUUGACAACACUGACAAGAAGAAGAACUGGGCAAAAGAACAGCAAAAUCUGCAUCUUUUAUUUGCUGAAGAAAGUUCGUCUCGACAUCGAUAUCUCCAGCAAAGCGCCAUGGCAAAGGUUCUCACAGGGUGGGACAUUCAUAUUGGAGUGCAGGGAUUAUGCUGAAAAGUCCUUAUUCUUCUCACGUCGACAACAGAUGCUCAUUUUCAAAAGGGAUGGAUCAAAAAUCUAUGUCGCAAUUCCACCAGAAGUGAUGGAUCCUUCCACCAGAAGCCAUGAAAGAUACGACAGGUAUUCUACGAAGCACAUCAACAAGAGUUUGGAAUUUGCUGAAUAUUAGCAGUAUUGUCAUAGGGAUGCGUUACUUAAUAUGGCAGGCAAUGUUUAUCAUAGCAGAUGCUACAAUAAUUCGUUUGCCCAUUUUGUUGCUUGCACUUGGUUCAUUUUUGUCGAAUUUGUUCGACUGAUGCAACUAUAUUGAUGUGUUGUUUAUGACUAAAAUAUAGGCUAUGAAAACUUUAAGCCUGAGUGACAAUCUAUUCGAGCAACAUUGAAUUUGGGUGAAACUUUUUCCUUUAGUUCAUUCAUAUUCUUCUUCGUUUGUCAUUCCCAUUGUUUGUCCUGAUAGUGGCAUAUUAUUAAUUGUUCUGUAAUUGAUGUUUGGAGCUUCAUUUCAUGUUUCAGAAUAUAUGGGUCCUAUGAUAAAAUUGAAGGACACUUAGUAAUUUUACAAAUCAUAAAUGUCUUGAUGAAGAGUAUGAAAUCAUUUGGUAUUGGUGGUAAGCAGACUGAAGCGUAAUAAUAAGGUGGAAACUACGCAUCAUAACUUGAACUCUCCCUUUGCAAUAAUGGAAAUUUAAUCGCCCCAUGCCUCUCGAAUGCUGAACAAUCGGCCUCUUCGCUGAAAUGGAGCAAAUAUCAAUACCUUUUUCCCACACACAAGGAUAUGCACCUCAUACAUUGAAAAGUUCAAGUGAUGAAUACUACCAAUAUAGAUCGUCUCCGUACAUUUACCUAGAGUAACGAAGCAAUGGGAUGACUCAAAGAGGAUGAAGACGACAAAAGCUCUCACAAGUAAUGUUUUGAUGAGGAUAAUUGCAUAGAUUGAGUUACACAUUAUUAACACGGUCAUUUUUUCUCUUUUCUUAAAUAUGGAGUCUUAACUUAUUAGUUUGUUUAUUAAUUAUAUCUUCACUAAUUUUCUUAUUUGCUUUAAUCUUUUAGUAAUUUUUUUUUCUUUUGAAAUUGAUGUGGUACAUUUAUUCUUGUGUUUUUCAUUUCUCGAGAAAUUAUUCUCUGUUCAC